UAUGGUGAUGAUUGCAUAAGGGAUACACCUGUUCCCAUACCGAACACAGAAGUUAAGCCUUAUAACGCCGAUGGUACUGCUCGGGCAACCGUGUGGUAGAGUAGGAAGUCGCCAAAU
Molecule: ribosomal RNA, 117 nt
Organism: Anaerococcus lactolyticus ATCC 51172
Lineage: Bacteria; Bacillati; Bacillota; Tissierellia; Tissierellales; Peptoniphilaceae
Source: Rfam